UACGUAGGGUGCAAGCGUUAUCCGGAAUUAUUGGGCGUAAAGAGCUCGUAGGCGGUUUGUCGCGUCUGCUGUGAAAACCCGAGGCUCAACCUCGGGCCUGCAGUGGGUACGGGCAGACUAGAGUGCGGUAGGGGAGAAUGGAAUUCCUGAUGUAGCGGUGGAAUGCGCAGAUAUCAGGAGGAACACCGAUGGCGAAGGCAGUUCUCUGGGCCGUAACUGACGCUGAGGAGCGAAAGCGUGGGGAGCGAACAGG
This 253-nucleotide ribosomal RNA is filed under the name uncultured bacterium. RNAcentral's name for it is "partial 16S ribosomal RNA". It matches the Rfam family "Bacterial small subunit ribosomal RNA", at positions 524 to 776 of the family's 1533-position model. The record is from RNAcentral.